This 253-nucleotide ribosomal RNA is filed under the name uncultured bacterium. RNAcentral's name for it is "partial 16S ribosomal RNA". It matches the Rfam family "Bacterial small subunit ribosomal RNA", at positions 524 to 776 of the family's 1533-position model. The record is from RNAcentral.
UACGGAGGAUGCAAGCGUUAUCCGGAAUGAUUGGGCGUAAAGAGUCCGUAGGUGGCAUUUCAAGUCUGCUGUUAAAGGUCGGGGCUCAACUCCGAACAGGCGGUGGAAACUGAAGAGCUAGAGGUUGGUAGGGGCAGAGGGAAUUCCCAGUGUAGCGGUGAAAUGCGUAGAGAUUGGGAAGAACACCGGUGGCGAAAGCGCUCUGCUGGACCAAGACUGACACUGAGGGACGAAAGCUAGGGGAGCGAAUGGG